RNAcentral lists this ribosomal RNA (253 nucleotides) under uncultured bacterium. RNAcentral's name for it is "partial 16S ribosomal RNA". It matches the Rfam family "Bacterial small subunit ribosomal RNA", at positions 524 to 776 of the family's 1533-position model. The record is from RNAcentral.
UACGUAUGGUGCAAGCGUUAUCCGGAUUUACUGGGUGUAAAGGGAGCGUAGGCGGCGCGUUAAGUCUGAUGUGAAAACCCGAGGCUCAACCACGGGAGUGCAUUGGAAACUGGCGGGCUGGAGUGCCGGAGAGGUAAGCGGAAUUCCUAGUGUAGCGGUGAAAUGCGUAGAUAUUAGGAGGAACACCAGUGGCGAAGGCGGCUUACUGGACGGCAACUGACGUUGAGGCUCGAAAGCGUGGGGAGCAAACAGG